CGGGACCUCAGGUCAGGCGGGGCUACCCG
RNAcentral lists this ribosomal RNA (29 nucleotides) under Bobgunnia madagascariensis. Its description in RNAcentral is "partial 26S ribosomal RNA". The record is from RNAcentral. RNAcentral also lists the same sequence under 3 other names. Lineage: Eukaryota; Viridiplantae; Streptophyta; Magnoliopsida; Fabales; Fabaceae.